CAUCUGGUCUGCACAUUUUUCGGUAAAGGCAAAACGUGCGCGCAGUGGCUUUUCGACGAAAAAAGGGUUCUUGAGAUUUGUGCUGGUAGUGUUUCAAACAGAAAAAACAAUAUUACGAAGUAGGAUUCAUACCAAGUUUGUGAGUUGACGAUCGGUAGUGGUGCAGUUGCAGCAUACUGUCAUCUGGUUGAUCCUGUACAUUCUUAAAAAAGAUGCCUUCCCUUGUUUCUUGCCACCACUUAUGGGUAUCCAACAAGAAGUCUGCUAUUCUUUUCAAGUAGCAUUCGUGAUCUCUUGGAUAUUUCUCUAUCCAGUGGAAUGGUAUCAAUGUUCCUAUGAAUUUAAUGGAAGCAAUUGCACAAACUCUUUAGAAGAUCACAAGAAAAUUUUACAUUGCGUUGGUGAAGUUCAUUUAUCAAUUCAUGUUUCUUCAAUCCGUCAUAAAGUUUUACGGCACCAUUAUUUAAUUUAUCUGCAGAAGAAACAGAUUUUAAUACGUGGCUGAUGCAAUCUUGUAGAGAAAGAUGCUUUAAAGGGAAACUAAGGUAUGUACGAGACUAGCAACACAAUAUGCAUGCACUGGACACAAGAAGCAAAAGUAAUUUUACCUUUCUGCUGACCUGAUUCAAAUGAAGCUGCAGGACUAUCACCCUUAAAGAAACGCAUAACAUCGAUAAUGUCAUAUCCAAUGCUUUCUUCCAUGGCCAUGAUGUCCUUAAUACGUUCAUUCAAAUAUAGAAGUUGUUGAUCUGUGGAAGGGCAUCUUGCCAAGAGAACCACCCUGGUGAAAUUUUGUGGAAUUAGAAGUUUACCAAAUGUCGAAAUUUGUUUACUUAUAUAAUCUGGUUACCGUUCAACUGCUGUUUCUGACCAUUGAUUCUCAAUAUCUUUUUUAACGGUGCGCAAAAGAUCACGUUUUUCGUUUUCGUCUUUCUCCAGUACCAACGUUUUAAACUGGGAUGUAAAUGACGCAUUGUACUUAGAUGCAAACUCGUCAUCAAGUACGCAUACUGCAUUGUCAAGUCGAUUCUAUAUAUACGUUAAAAAAUACUUUUUAUAUGUAUGUAGCCUAAUUUAUUUUAUUGUAUUAUUUAAAUUUAAUGAUAAAACAACAAACCUUAA
Molecule: long non-coding RNA, 1122 nt
Organism: Hydractinia symbiolongicarpus
Lineage: Eukaryota; Metazoa; Cnidaria; Hydrozoa; Anthoathecata; Hydractiniidae
Exons: 6
Source: RefSeq, a predicted model, not a curated record